Molecule: non-coding RNA, 1715 nt
Organism: Myodes glareolus (Bank vole)
Lineage: Eukaryota; Metazoa; Chordata; Mammalia; Rodentia; Cricetidae
Source: RefSeq, a predicted model, not a curated record
AACGAGACAAGGUGGGAGGACAGAGUGAUAAAGGGGAGUGGCGUUGAUGUAGCCUCUGCGAGUGGAGGUUUGCUGGGAGAUUGAUCCCAGGGAGAGCCUUGUGAAUGCCCUAGCCAUCUUUCACGGUUUUCAGUUAUUGCCACGACACCGUUGACUGUCAGGGCAUUAGAAGGUGUGUCAUUUAAUGCGCAGUUAGAACUGCUAACUGUAGUCUUGGAGGAUGUCAGUAAUCUGUUGAUAUUCCCCAUCUAUCCGUGCCCCGCCCCCCGCAAGGAAUAGGCUCUGCCUCUGGCCGGAGAGAGGGGCAUCCGUCCGUUAUUUUCUCCCUCGUUUCUACGCACCCCACCCCCAUCUCUGCAGCUGUCAUGGCGGCCUCGCGGUUAAGUUUGUGUGCCCGCAGCCUUUUGGCUAUGCGAGGGCUCCAGGCUACCGACAUUUGCUGGAAACCGAGCUCCUCCUCUGGGGCUGUGGUCGCCCGGUCCACUGUGGCACGAAUGAAGCAGCAGCAGAGAGAACCUACCCCGCAAUGGUUGGAGGACCCAGAGCCCGAGGACGAAAACGUCUACUCGAAGAACCCAUACUUCCAUGGUUAUGACGAGGACCCCGUGGUGGACGACUGGAAUAUGCAAGCCGUCUUCUUCUUUGGUUUUUCCAUCGUCCUGGUCUUCGGCACCACCUUUGUGGCUUACGUGCCCAACUAUGGGAUGGUUGAGUGGGCCCGCUGGGAAGCUGAGAUGCUCGUGAAACACCGAGAAGACAAUGGCCUCCCUCUCAUGGAAUCCAACCGGUUUGACCCCAGCAAGAUCCAACUACCAGGGGAUGACUGAUGAGCUACUGAGUGGGAUGUAAGAAGCACUACGUUGCCUUCACCCUUGCCUGUUUUCCUCACUCCCCGGAGCACAGGGGGGGAACAGUGCCGUUACUCCAGACUGUCAAUCAUUUGGCCAAGGGACCACAGCUCAGGAAGCCUGACUCACCUAAAACUAAGCUAAAGAGAAGGGAGGAGUAAUUAUCCCCUUAAUGAGAUAAUGAACUUUCCUUCCCAGGAACCCUGGGGCCUCCACUUUGUGGUCUGCCCAUUGAAUCCUGGCUCACAAGAGCAAGCUGUUUCUUUUGCCCUUUUCUUUCUUUUGAAUACUUGCCAAUGCCUGGGCGUUUUUUCUUGAUGUUCUGGCCUCUCUCGUUCUUCUUUUGCAUCUCCCUUGCCCUGCUUCUGUCACGGGGCUGCUUGGCCAACCUCCAUGGCUAACCUUCACAGAAGCGGCAUGGCCUUUGUCUUCUCCGACUUGUGGCAUCUGCCAGGAUUUUCAGCCUUCUCUGUGCUAGCCGGCCUAGACACAGACCCCUUCGCCCUUCCUUCACUUCCCUUGCACGAAUUAUUUUGAAGCUAGCCAAUCAAGAAAGAUUGUGAGGUCAUCACCACAACCAGUGGAGAAAAGACAGUCACCACCUCCUGUAGAGAGAAAAUCACAGGAAUCUGCUGCCAGGGCAGGGCGUACUUGCUGUUUAACUGGGAACUCUGCUUUGGCCCCACCUCUCUCCCUCCAGACCCCACUCUCUGAAAGCCUGCCCAAUAUUGGCUCCUCCCCGGAGCUACGCAAGACUGCUCUGCUCCUCCAGCCCAGGCCCCUAGACCCUGGGUGUGACUUCUCCUCCCUACUUCCCAGAUGACCCUGGAGUUGCUUUGUUCAGAUUAAACUUGGCCUUAUUCAUUU